This 496-nucleotide ribosomal RNA is filed under the name uncultured bacterium. Its description in RNAcentral is "partial 16S ribosomal RNA". It matches the Rfam family "Bacterial small subunit ribosomal RNA", at positions 28 to 506 of the family's 1533-position model. The record is from RNAcentral.
GACGAACGCUGGCGGCGUGCCUAAUACAUGCAAGUUGAGCGCUGAAGGUUGGUACUUGUACCAACUGGAUGAGCAGCGAACGGGUGAGUAACGCGUGGGGAAUCUGCCUUUGAGCGGGGGACAACAUUUGGAAACGAAUGCUAAUACCGCAUAAAAACUUUAAACACAAGUUUUAAGUUUGAAAGAUGCAAUUGCAUCACUCAAAGAUGAUCCCGCGUUGUAUUAGCUAGUUGGUGAGGUAAAGGCUCACCAAGGCGAUGAUACAUAGCCGACCUGAGAGGGUGAUCGGCCACAUUGGGACUGAGACACGGCCCAAACUCCUACGGGAGGCAGCAGUAGGGAAUCUUCGGCAAUGGACGAAAGUCUGACCGGGCAACGCCGCGUGAGUGAAGAAGGUUUUCGGAUCGUAAAACUCUGUUGGUAGAGAAGAACGUUGGUGAGAGUGGAAAGCUCAUCAAGUGACGGUAACUACCCAGAAAGGGACGGCUAACUACGU